Gasterosteus aculeatus aculeatus (three-spined stickleback) is the source of this 1003-nucleotide long non-coding RNA. Lineage: Eukaryota; Metazoa; Chordata; Actinopteri; Perciformes; Gasterosteidae. The record is from Ensembl.
CCCCCCCCCCCCCCCACGGAAGCGUCCCGAGCCCCGGCGGUGCUGCAGAGGCAAGUCGCCGGGGAGGUGCAGACGCAGCCGCGGGACCGCGCCGUCAACCAGCUGGCCAUGAUGCUGGCCAUCAUGGGCCUGAGUUUGUCCUACUACAGCGCCAAGCAGAUGACGGAGGACGUCCGCGCGCAGCCCGCGCCCUGAGGACACUCGCCCAGCCCGCUCGCGGAGAAGACGGGCGAGCCGAUGGGGGUAGAAGGAGGCGGGAGAAGGGGGGGUGUGGACUGGUUUGGGUGGGCGAUCAUAACCAGCCGACUGGCACCUGGGUCUGACCACUAGUCUCUUACAAAGGUACAUGCCUGCAAGAUGCCGUCAAUACUGUCCUGAGCGACGAAAAAGGGGACGCUCAUUUUGCCAGUUCUUCAAAGAGCGUCAAAUAAAAGCACAGUAAUGCCUUUGUUUUAAGCGAUGGGCUGACUGCAGUUGAGAUGUACCUUGUAAUGAAGUGAUGGCCGGCUCACAACAAGGCGGAAGGGGGCUAAUAAGUUAGCACAACACACUUUCUUUUUUUUGUUCUUCAUUAGAGAACCGUACAGAUCCAGAGCUUAAUUCAAAAACCGUCAAUGUGUAGAAAUGCUUGUAAAAUGUUUCUGUGUGGUGUCAGGUUCAUUUGAGUAGAUGUGCAAUAGUGCAGAAACAUUUUCUUUGAGUGCUACAUUGGCUCCUCAAAGGGACUUUAAGCAACUCCUCUUUUUAUGUUUGAUUGUUUUUUUUGAUCUCACACUACCGUAAAUCAAAGUCCCGUUGAGAUGAAUGACUACCUGUUUUCUUAAAGCACACUGAUUGAGAAACCUUCCUGCGAUCUCAUUCUACAUGCAGACCUUUUAACUUUAACUGAACAUUGCAUGUUUGUGCAGACUUUUAAUCGAGCGACAAUCUUGUUUUUAAAUGAUGGAUGAAUGUAUUACUCUGUGAAAGAUUUAAUAAAGCUGUGAACAUCUUGAAUGCGAUG